This 507-nucleotide ribosomal RNA is filed under the name uncultured Glomus. Its description in RNAcentral is "SSU rRNA". It matches the Rfam family "Eukaryotic small subunit ribosomal RNA", at positions 569 to 1080 of the family's 1831-position model. Lineage: Eukaryota; Fungi; Glomeromycota; Glomeromycetes; Glomerales; Glomeraceae. The record is from RNAcentral.
AGCAGCCGCGGUAAUUCCAGCUCCAAUAGCGUAUAUUAAAGUUGUUGCAGUUAAAAAGCUCGUAGUUGAAUUUCGGGAUCAAUAUGUUGGUCGUGCCUCGGUACGUACUAGCUUAUUGGUUUCUCCUUUCUGAAGAACCAUGAUGUCAUUUAUUUGGUGUCGUGGGGAAUCAGGACUGUUACUUUGAAAAAAUUAGAGUGUUUAAAGCAGGCUCACGCUUGAAUACAUUAGCAUGGAAUAAUGAAAUAGGACGUUUGAUUCUAUUUUGUUGGUUUCUAGGAUCGACGUAAUGAUUAAUAGGGAUAGUUGGGGGCAUUAGUAUUCAAUUGUCAGAGGUGAAAUUCUUGGAUUUAUUGAAGACUAACUACUGCGAAAGCAUUUGCCAAGGAUGUUUUCAUUAAUCAAGAACGAAAGUUAGGGGAUCGAAGACGAUCAGAUACCGUCGUAGUCUUAACCAUAAACUAUAGCCGACUAGGGAUCGGAUGAUGUAAUUUUUAAUGACUCAUU